RNAcentral lists this ribosomal RNA (57 nucleotides) under Sphaeropsis visci. Its description in RNAcentral is "partial 28S ribosomal RNA". Lineage: Eukaryota; Fungi; Ascomycota; Dothideomycetes; Botryosphaeriales; Botryosphaeriaceae. The record is from RNAcentral.
UGACCUCGGAUCAGGUAGGGAUACCCGCUGAACUUAAGCAUAUCAAUAAACGGAGGA